AUGUCUUAUCUCAGUUCAUGC
This 21-nucleotide non-coding RNA is filed under the name Arabidopsis thaliana (thale cress). Lineage: Eukaryota; Viridiplantae; Streptophyta; Magnoliopsida; Brassicales; Brassicaceae. The record is from RNAcentral.